This 557-nucleotide ribosomal RNA is filed under the name uncultured cyanobacterium. RNAcentral's name for it is "bacterial SSU rRNA". It matches the Rfam family "Bacterial small subunit ribosomal RNA", at positions 66 to 665 of the family's 1533-position model. Lineage: Bacteria; Bacillati; Cyanobacteriota. The record is from RNAcentral.
ACGCAACCCUUCGGGGUUGAGUGGCGGACGGGUGAGUAACGCGUGAGAAUCUGCCUUCAGGUUCGGGACAACCACUGGAAACGGUGGCUAAUACCGGAUGUGCCGCAACGUGAAAGAUUUAUCGCCUGAAGAUGAGCUCGCGUCUGAUUAGCUAGUUGGUGAGGUAAAGGCUCACCAAGGCGACGAUCAGUAGCUGGUCUGAGAGGAUGACCAGCCACACUGGGACUGAGACACGGCCCAGACUCCUACGGGAGGCAGCAGUGGGGAAUUUUCCGCAAUGGGCGAAAGCCUGACGGAGCAAGACCGUGUGAGGGAGGAAGGCCCUUGGGUUGUAAACCUCUUUUGUCAGGGAAGAACACAAUGACGGUACCUGACGAAUCAGCCUCGACUAACUCCGUGCCAGCAGCCGCGGUAAUACGGAGGAGGCAAGCGUUAUCCGGAAUUAUUGGGCGUAAAGCGUCCGCAGGUGGCUAUUCAAGUCUGCUGUCAAAGACCGGGGCUUAACCCUGGAAAGGCGGUGGAAACUGAAUGGCUAGAGAGAGGUAGGGGUAGAGGGA